UGGGGAAUUUUGCACAAUGGGGGAAACCCUGAUGCAGCGACGCCGCGUGAUUUAGAAGGCCUUCGGGUUGUAAAAAUCUUUUUUACGGGAUGAAAAUGACAGUACCGUAAGAAUAAGGUCCGGCUAAAUACGUGCCAGCAGCCGCGGUAAUACGUAUGGACCGAGCGUUGUCCGGAAUCAUUGGGCGUAAAGGGUACGUAGGCGGCCUAGUAAGUUAGAAGUGAAAUAAUAUAGCUCAACUAUAUAAAGCUUUUAAAACUGCUAGGCUUGAGAGAAGGAAGGGAAAGUGGAAUUCCUAGUGUAGCGGUGAAAUGCGCAGAUAUUAGGAAGAAGACCGGUGGCGAAGGCGACUUUCUGGUCAUCAUCUGACGCUGAGGUACGAAAGCGUGGGUAGCAAACAGG
RNAcentral lists this ribosomal RNA (402 nucleotides) under bacterium. RNAcentral's name for it is "partial 16S ribosomal RNA". It matches the Rfam family "Bacterial small subunit ribosomal RNA", at positions 355 to 776 of the family's 1533-position model. The record is from RNAcentral.